RNAcentral lists this ribosomal RNA (1340 nucleotides) under Klebsiella pneumoniae. RNAcentral's name for it is "partial 23S ribosomal RNA". It matches the Rfam family "Bacterial large subunit ribosomal RNA", at positions 1610 to 2925 of the family's 2925-position model. The record is from RNAcentral. Lineage: Bacteria; Pseudomonadati; Pseudomonadota; Gammaproteobacteria; Enterobacterales; Enterobacteriaceae.
AGGAAAAGCCUCUAAGCAUCAGGUAACAUCAAAUCGUACCCCAAACCGACACAGGUGGUCAGGUAGAGAAUACCAAGGCGCUUGAGAGAACUCGGGUGAAGGAACUAGGCAAAAUGGUGCCGUAACUUCGGGAGAAGGCACGCUGGUGUGUAGGUGAAGUCCCUGCGGAUGGAGCUGAGACCAGUCGAAGAUACCAGCUGGCUGCAACUGUUUAUUAAAAACACAGCACUGUGCAAACACGAAAGUGGACGUAUACGGUGUGACGCCUGCCCGGUGCCGGAAGGUUAAUUGAUGGGGUUAUCCGUAAGGAGAAGCUCUUGAUCGAAGCCCCGGUAAACGGCGGCCGUAACUAUAACGGUCCUAAGGUAGCGAAAUUCCUUGUCGGGUAAGUUCCGACCUGCACGAAUGGCGUAAUGAUGGCCAGGCUGUCUCCACCCGAGACUCAGUGAAAUUGAACUCGCUGUGAAGAUGCAGUGUACCCGCGGCAAGACGGAAAGACCCCGUGAACCUUUACUAUAGCUUGACACUGAACAUUGAGCCUUGAUGUGUAGGAUAGGUGGGAGGCUUUGAAGCGUGGACGCCAGUCUGCGUGGAGCCAACCUUGAAAUACCACCCUUUAAUGUUUGAUGUUCUAACGUUGGCCCCUGACCGGGGUUGCGGACAGUGUCUGGUGGGUAGUUUGACUGGGGCGGUCUCCUCCCAAAGCGUAACGGAGGAGCACGAAGGUUAGCUAAUCCUGGUCGGACAUCAGGAGGUUAGUGCAAUGGCAUAAGCUAGCUUGACUGCGAGCGUGACGGCGCGAGCAGGUGCGAAAGCAGGUCAUAGUGAUCCGGUGGUUCUGAAUGGAAGGGCCAUCGCUCAACGGAUAAAAGGUACUCCGGGGAUAACAGGCUGAUACCGCCCAAGAGUUCAUAUCGACGGCGGUGUUUGGCACCUCGAUGUCGGCUCAUCACAUCCUGGGGCUGAAGUAGGUCCCAAGGGUAUGGCUGUUCGCCAUUUAAAGUGGUACGCGAGCUGGGUUUAGAACGUCGUGAGACAGUUCGGUCCCUAUCUGCCGUGGGCGCUGGAGAAUUGAGGGGGGCUGCUCCUAGUACGAGAGGACCGGAGUGGACGCAUCACUGGUGUUCGGGUUGUCAUGCCAAUGGCACUGCCCGGUAGCUAAAUGCGGAAGAGAUAAGUGCUGAAAGCAUCUAAGCACGAAACUUGCCCCGAGAUGAGUUCUCCCUGAGACUAUAAGUCUCCUGAAGGAACGUUGAAGACGACGACGUUGAUAGGCCGGGUGUGUAAGCGCAGCGAUGCGUUGAGCUAACCGGUACUAAUGAACCGUGAGGCUUAACCUU